UGAGCACGUGUGCAAAUGCACAUGGGUGUGCAGGGCCCGUAUUGCUCGGUGUUCUGGGGUCUGGCUCUGCAGCAGGAGUGUCUGAGAAACCAGGCCAACCUGCAGUCUGUGUUCUCAGCCACGCCGGGAGGAAAGCUCUGGAAAAGAAGACCACACUGUGGGUUAAGGACCACAUCGUUCCGAGUGUCCUCCACAAAUCUCUUCUGGGUGUGGGAAAGCGUGCUGAUGCCCAGGCCCCCCACCCAGACUUGCUGGAUCGCCCCAAAGUCUGAGAGCAAAUGUGUUGUCAGGUGUUACUGUCCUCAGGAGUGUCUGCAUUUUAAGGAUGGAAGCGGGGUGGGCAGAGGGCAAUGGCCUAACCCACUCGGAAGGAAUCAUUGCAGCAGGCUUCAGGCAUGGGGCGGGGCGGAAAUUUGGGAACAGAAGUGUUUCUUGAGCCUCUGAAAUCACUCCAUCGGAGGACCGCGUCUGUCUGCUACAGAGCUCUGGACCCUCGGGAGCAGGGGACAGCUUGGUAGGCAUCGGUGCAGGAUGGAGCUGACUCCCUGGACUUUGCCGGCCCUUCCUCUGCCCCAGCUCGUCCUCCGGCCGUGGGAUGCUCGGGAUGCUCGAUGAUGCGCGCAGGUGCGUGCAGGUUUCUCCUCUAGAAAAGAAGCCUGUGUGAUCCACAGAGAUGCUGCUUACCGACAUAGUAGGGUGACGGAUCUCUACGGCCCAAGCUGUAGAAAUGGCAGCCAUGGAAGCAGUCCACGCAGCUCUCCUUCCAAGGGAAGCAGCUCUGCACAGAGAGUCCCCGGGAAGCCUCCAGCUUUUCACCUUGGAUCAAAUGCAGCUUUCAUUCUGAGAACUUGCUCUCCACGGGUUGCUCCUAGCCAGUGGCCAAGCACAGCAAGGAGAUGAGAGCUGGGCCAUCGUGGGACGCCUGUCAUGGGUGGUCUUUGCACGGGGGCUCCCUGUUGGCCUGGCUGAGAUGUUAUCAGAGUUUCUCUGCCAUUGAAACCUCCCCCUAUUCAGUUUUCCUCUCUUCCCUUUCCUUGCACAGCUGUCAGCUCUGCACAGGGGUCUGAAGGCUCUCCCUGCUCACUCCGGCUCCCUCUCUCCUGUACCCUUUAUAAACACUUCCCUUCUGCAUGUUUUAUUCUGGUUGGCAUCGACUUCCCAGAGGACCCAAAGUAGUACAGGAGGCCUCAGAAAAAA
Molecule: long non-coding RNA, 1197 nt
Organism: Nyctereutes procyonoides (raccoon dog)
Lineage: Eukaryota; Metazoa; Chordata; Mammalia; Carnivora; Canidae
Exons: 3
Source: RefSeq, a predicted model, not a curated record